Molecule: ribosomal RNA, 516 nt
Filed under: uncultured bacterium
Lineage: Bacteria
Description: bacterial SSU rRNA
Rfam family: Bacterial small subunit ribosomal RNA
Source: RNAcentral
GAUGAACGCUAGCGAUAGGCCUAACACAUGCAAGUCGAGGGGCAUCACAUGAAGUAGCAAUACGGAUGGUGGCGACCGGCGCACGGGUGAGUAACACGUAUGCAACCUGCCUUCAACAAGGGGAUAACCCGUUGAAAGACGGACUAAUACCCUAUAACACAGGGGUCCCGCAUGGGGAUAUUUGUUAAAGGACAACCGGUUGAAGAUGGGCAUGCGUUCCAUUAGCUAGUUGGCGGGGUAACGGCCCACCAAGGCAACGAUGGAUAGGGGAACUGAGAGGUUUAUCCCCCACACUGGUACUGAGACACGGACCAGACUCCUACGGGAGGCAGCAGUGAGGAAUAUUGGUCAAUGGACGCAAGUCUGAACCAGCCACGUCGCGUGAAGGAAGACGGCCCUACGGGUUGUAAACUUCUUUUAUACGGGGAAUAAAGUGCCCCACGCGUGGGGUUUUGCAUGUACCGUAUGAAUAAGGAUCGGCUAACUCCGUGCCAGCAGCCGCGGUAUUCACACUAC